RNAcentral lists this microRNA precursor (138 nucleotides) under Gossypium hirsutum (cotton). Its description in RNAcentral is "MIR7502 microRNA precursor family". It matches the Rfam family "MIR7502 microRNA precursor family". Lineage: Eukaryota; Viridiplantae; Streptophyta; Magnoliopsida; Malvales; Malvaceae. The record is from Rfam by way of RNAcentral.
GAUCAAAAAGUAAAUUGGUCUUUUCUGUUAAAAAUUGGCAUGGCUAACAAAAUAAUCAAAUAGUAGCACCUAGUGUGCCACGUGUACAAAUGUACAAAGACUAGUUUUUAACAGUAGAAAUGCAUGAAAUUUUUAACA